UAGAAGAUAGUAUAAUUGGUAGUACAUAAAGUUUUGGACUUUGAUGUGCAGGUUCGUGGCCUGUUUUUCUA
This 71-nucleotide transfer RNA is filed under the name Crenadactylus ocellatus. RNAcentral's name for it is "tRNA-Gln". It matches the Rfam family "tRNA". From Rfam's summary of the family: Transfer RNA (tRNA) molecules are approximately 80 nucleotides in length. Their secondary structure includes four short double-helical elements and three loops (D, anti-codon, and T loops). The record is from RNAcentral. Lineage: Eukaryota; Metazoa; Chordata; Lepidosauria; Squamata; Diplodactylidae.